RNAcentral lists this ribosomal RNA (768 nucleotides) under uncultured bacterium. Its description in RNAcentral is "bacterial SSU rRNA". It matches the Rfam family "Bacterial small subunit ribosomal RNA", at positions 8 to 796 of the family's 1533-position model. The record is from RNAcentral.
AGAGUUUGAUCAUGGCUCAGGAUGAACGCUGGCGGCGUACCUAACGCAUGCAAGUCGAACGGGAGUUGAGAAGCAAUUUUCGACUCUAGUGGCAAACGGGUGAGUAACACGUGGGUAAUCUCUCCUGGAGUGGGGAAUAACGGAUCGAAAGGUUCGCUAAUACCGCAUGACCUUGAGAAAGCAAAGGUGGAUUGUAAAAUCCAUCGCUCUAGGCGGAACCUGCGGCCGAUCAGGUAGUUGGUGAGGUAACGGCUCACCAAGCCGACGACCGGUAGCUGAUCUGAGAGGAUGACCAGCCACACUGGCACUGAGACACGGGCCAGACUCCUACGGGAGGCAGCAGCGAGGAAUAUUGCGCAAUGGACGAAAGUCUGACGCAGUAACGCCGCGUGAGGGAAGACGACCUUCGGGUUGUAAACCUCUUUUUGGAAGGACGAGCGAGGACGGUACUUUCAGAAUAAGUCUCGGCUAACUACGUGCCAGCAGCCGCGGUAAGACGUAGGAGGCGAGCGUUAUCCGGAUUCACUGGGCGUAAAGGGCAUGUAGGCGGCUGUGUAAGUCGUGUGUUAAAGCCCCCGGCUCAACUGGGGGAGGUCAUGCGAGACUAUACGGCUUGAGGGCAGCAGAGGAACGUGGAACUCCCGGUGUAGCGGUGGAAUGCGUAGAGAUCGGGAAGAACACCAGUGGCGAAGGCGGCGUUCUGGGCUGCAACUGACGCUGAAAUGCGAAAGUGUGGGGAGCAAACGGGAUUAGAUACCCUAGUAGUCC